RNAcentral lists this non-coding RNA (22 nucleotides) under Mus musculus (house mouse). The record is from RNAcentral. Lineage: Eukaryota; Metazoa; Chordata; Mammalia; Rodentia; Muridae.
UGGAUGCUCUAAAACCCAGGGA